GUAAUUCUACCUUGAUAAUCACUGAAGUGAUGUGCUGAGAAAUGUUCUACUUCUUGUCAUACAAGAAUCCUGUAUAAAGAAACCUAUUUCUGAUAUUGAGCAGAAAACAGAGGUUAUUUUUUAUUUUUAGAGCGUGUCAAUACAAGAGAUGUGUAGAGAAAUCAAAGGAAUAUUGUUCUAGAACUGAACUGUGACGCUCCUUCCAGGGGGUUGAUAGAAAAUGUACAUGUCUGUAAAUCAAAUAAACCUAUUUAAUCACUUCAUACCACCGCGUUGUCUCUUGUUUCUGCUCACUCUCUCCUGCAUUCAUAACAUCCUAAUCAAUCACCCGCAGGGUCUUCAACUAACAACAUGACUAGGCCUUAAAUUGAGGUAUAUGCUACUGUAUUAUCUCUGAAAUGACUUCAUGUAAGUUCCUGAACUACAAACCAGACACUGCUGGAUUUCCACCUCAUGGAUCAUUUCAGAGUAUGAAUGUGUCAAUGCUCAUAUUCUGUAGAAUUAGUGUUGCUUCUACCUUAAACAUUUUUUUGUUGUUUUUCUCAGAGCCCGGUUUCAGUAACAAGUUUUUACAAAUUGUACGUAUAGUUUAAGUUCAGCGCGGAGCAUGUAUCAUCCGCAACAUGGUUACAUUCACCUACAUUGCCUCAAGCAGUUUGGGCAUUUAGUCAUUUUAAUUGUCCAUUUGCUCUGAAAACCAUAAUGUUGACCUUUGUAAAAAAAAUGAAGUACGUUAGAACUUAUGAAUAUGUUUUAGGAUCUUCUAAAAGACUAACUAAUUCAUCUAUUGUUCUAUUCAUACACUUGUUCGGUGGAGUUCGGUGAGUCAGGGGGGGAAAAAAAUGUAAUAUUUACCUUCACGGGAAGCGAGGAAGUCCGCCGCUGAAGGCCCUCGUUGUGCUGACGUUCAUUAAAAAAGGCGGAGCUGCCUAACGUGGCAGCUAAUGGCACUAAUGGACUUGGUCUAUGACAGGGCUGCAGAAACACAAUGAGUACGCAUGCACUGCUUUUGUCGUAGAGGAAGCGUGGAGAUGUUGACUGAGAGGCCUUUAAUUAGGCAGGGCCACUAUUUUAAACGGAUCAUUGUAUCCGACGUGCCCUCCGUUUGAAGAGGGCUAGAUUACAUAGGAGCCAGAGGAAGAAUUGGUAUUUGGUGGGCGGAUGACCAGGAGAAACCUAUACCCUUUCCCACAGUCACACCAAUAUGUACCCCAAAGUCAAAGUCAACACACCUAGUCAUGCAGUAUACAGGAAACAGCGGGGCGUCGGCAGGAAAAGGGGAGCCAUUCUAGCGAGCACUGGAAUUUCCAUUUGCGUUUUGCCACAUAAGGACGGACUUUGUACACGACGCAGGCUUAAAUCCAGGCUGACAAACAGCCACCAGUGGAUGAAAAAUGUCAGCUGGGAUUUUAAAAACAGCUUUGUUAAGGCCAUCCAUUUUUUAUAUGUGACUUCAGUAGGGAUUGCAGCGGCAUGUCGUUUUCAAAAUGUACUUGUGAAGAAUGAAGUCAAAGAAAUAAAGGUCGGGGUUAAACAGGAGAUGUGGUGAUUCUUCUGUCUGUGGAAAAACCCGUCAUUAGCAGUAUCACAUCUCCACUGUGAAUAUCUCACCUUCUCUCUGUUGACACCCACUGACUUUUCCAAGCUGCUUCAUACCGUAGAAUCCCAGCAGCUAAAGCCAGCGUGGCAGGAACAUUACGAAAGUCUCACCUGGUGCGCGGUUUGUCAUGUUCCCAGUCUCCUUCCAUGUGAAAUAGUUUAAACUGUUUGUGAAGGCGAGAUCCCGAAUCUGUUUUCCAUCUAUUACACCAACAGUUUUAGUAGCAAUUAAGGAUGACAUUGUUUUUAGUUUACACAGUCCACGGGUUCUUGACAAUACGAAAAGAUGAAUAAAACAUUGAUGGAAUGAGCAAAGACUACGGCCCACGCUGCUUUGUGCGAAGACAAACAUGCAAACCGACGAGCUUAAGUCUCCUAAUGGCCCCCAGCACAUAUUUCUUGUUACCAACACAAGUGAACAAGAGGGAUUAAAAGGAGGAACAGAGAACAACAAUUCACUCUCCGGGCUCUUAAUGCAAUUGAGAGGAAAAGGCAGAAAUAGCUGCUUCAUUAGAGGUUCGCUUGAGGCGGGGACAUGCUCAAGUUUUCAAACACUGUCAUUAUAAGAAGACAGGAUGAAGAUCAAACAGCCCAGUGACCUUCACGAUACUCUGAUGCCUUCCAAAUACUUACUUAAGAAAUAGUUGGAAAUGGCAUAUGCAAAGAGCAUUUAUACAAUAUUGUAUUUCAUAGUAAAGUAUACAGUGUGCAGUACAUCAAUAAACUUAGUCAUAUUUCAUUUAAAUCUACGUGAAAUUGCACAUGAAGACAGGAAUAUCUUUCCUCACAUUAAGUGUUAAUAUGUCUUAUUUCAAUGCAGAGGCUGCUGGGGAAAAACACAAAAAUAUAUCAAAAACUGCUACCAAAAAUGUUUGUGUUUUUUUCUACCUCACUGAGUCAAGAUAUCUAAACAGAGAUAUUCCUGGUGAGUUUUUUUAACUGUACUUUUUGGGGAGGUGAAAGUGACAAGUGACUCUUGAGGUACGCAAAAUACAAUCUUUGUCACAACAAAACAAUUAACAAAGAAAAUACCGAUUGAACAUGAUUACUUAUCUAAAGGAUGUGGAGUCUUUAACUUAUGUACAGCAUUUGGAAAGGAAACUAGAACAGUUACAAUAAUAUACAGCCAAUACAUCUGGAGAAAAUGAAAUGAAUCCACAUUUCAUGUAGAGACAAGGUGCGACAAUUGUUGCUAACAUCCUUUCCCAUUGUUGAGCAUCACUUCCCUUCUUACUAGUGUGAAUGGCCGGCCGGCCCUCAGGACCCAACUGAGCCUCAGCUGUCAGGCUCUGCAUUAACGCGAGGCUCUGCGUGUGUAUUAAAGACGCCGACACAUGUUCCAGAGGAAACGUGAGAUGUCGGCCUCCGCCUCCUCUUUAGUGUCUGCCCGUGUGGAAUGAAUAAAACGUGUGCUUUAUGGUGGGCUGAGCAAUGUCAAUGAAGCAACCGAACGAUUCAAGAGGACGUGAAUGGUAAUAGUCGGGCCUGCUGCAGUCGCCCCCCAGCUACUUACAAUGAUCACUCAUCGUCUUCGGGCCUCCAAGCAGUGGCUUCACUUCAAACUGUGCCAGUGAGGUCCUCAAUGCGACGAGGGAUUAAUUUGAUUUGCAUGCUCACUAAUGAGGAUGUAAUGUAAAUUGACAGUGGAAUAGUGUGACCGCGACUGCGCUUGUUAUGUGCCGCAGUGGGUUCAGUGUCACGGGUGCAGCAAGUGUGAGCGAUGAAUUGCAGAGUUUUCUGAAUUAACCAUGAGCUGCUUCUGCUCGACUUGGCGUAGAGUGAAUGAUGUUAUUUGGCUUUCGUUGCUGUUUUUAGCUCGCAUGGUUCCAUAUUUAGAACUUCUGUUUCCACUGCAGCAUGAACUGAUUCAGAAAUACUUACCAAAGGGCUAUUUAUGCAUGCGCUCGUGUGCAUCCACAGUAGCAUCUGUAUGCAUGUGUCCCGCAUGUCAAGGUCGGGAAGAAGCUCUGUGAAUGACGUGCGUGCAUCGUCUAGGCUAAGGCAAGGAACGGCAACAGCUCUGUGUGAGCGGAGGCAGAGGAGCACGCAUGUCUGAAUUCACACAUGACAAAUAGCAGGUUACACAGAUGUGUGCAACCGAGGAGGCCCUAAAUAAACUGAUGCACACUAACAGAUCAGGCAACUCACUCGGCUUCAGGAGCAAACAGGAUCCACUCUUCUAGAUCUUUGCAUCAUUAUAAAGAUAAAGAUAUUAGUUCAGGAUGUUCCAUUAUUUUGUGCCGUUUCGCUUUCCUCGUCAAUUACAUGCUCUCCAACUUGGCUGAAUCAGUUAUGCUCUAAUACUGUGCAGCAUAGUGGAUGAUAGGGGCUCAGGUGGUGGAGGAAAUCACAAGGUUCCGUGUUAGAUCCUCGACUACUUGAGGUGUCCUCGAGCGAGACAAUGCACCUGUAACCUCAGCCCAUUACAUGGCAGCUUCUGCCAUCUUUAUACGGAUGGGUAAAUGUAGACACGUACUGUAGAGCACAGUGAGAAGGUCAGUAGACAAGAAGACGGCCCCCUCUACUUUAAACACCGUCCCAUCAGCUUCAUGAACUACAGUGUGAUUACAGAUGAAUUCACCAACCACAUCUUUGUCUUUGGAAAUCAGUCCACAAAAAACUAAAAUUUGUUUAUAUAUAUAUUUAUAAAACACUAACGUAACCUUUACUGAUAUCGGAUGUUAUGCAGACUUUACUAUGGACAAACUCUUUCCACACUGUUCUCUUCUUUCACCCUCCUUUCCUUUGACACAACCAGAGAGAGGCGGGCAGGAAGCGGUUGAGCAAUGAAUGGAUGCCAUUUAGGGAGCUCUCCAAAACUAGUGAUAAAUGGGGUUGAUAGAUUAGUCAUGAUGGUAGGUGAUCUUCUCAUCAGUCCAACCACAGACGUUUUGUAUUUUUUCAUUUGUGCUGCAAAAUGCUCAAAAGUCAAAAUGAUUUUGGAUCAAAGUAGAAUGCCAAGUAGAUGUGUGUGGCUGAAAGGGCACUGAAGUAAUUUCAGCCCUUACUCACUUCAUGUAUGUGCAUGAGUACAUUUUGUCAUCAUAUUUCUAUUUUUUUCAAACAUCAAAAAAUGUACGCAUUCACCGCCAUAUGUGAAAGCUCAUAUGCACUUCCAUUGACCUCAUCCUCUUAUUCUACCACAGGAAUCUCCUGUGCGGCGCUUUCACAUAUGGCAAGGAGAGAGUGGAAGAAGAUUUAUUUUUUCUAUGGAGCCUCAGGAAAUGGUCUUAAAUUCAAUCAAUUUAUGAGGACCACCGACCAAAUAGUGCUUGAAUCCUAAAAUCCUAUUUAAGGAAGAUGACAUCAAAAAAGAAGAUAUUGUAUUAAUAAUCAUAGAAUAAAAAGAUUGGAGACAGUAUGCUUGGUACCAGAUGGAUACAAAGUAUUCUUAUAUUAAGUGUCCAUUCCAGGAUUGUUAUGUUGAAAGUUAUCUCGACUUUCUGCUCCUGGCCUCCUUCUGAAAUUCCACAAGCAGCUAUCAAUCACACACCCAGAAUGCAUCUGUGAAAACACUGUCUCCAAUUAGAUCACCCCCCCCAAAAAAAAGAAUCUUAACUUGACCACCAUGAAUCAAAUUCGUUGGCUCUUCAGUGUGCACGGCAAUGCAAGCCAAUUCUGAAGAAGGACUUUUGUCAUUUGAAACAUACUGUAUUUAGAUUACAACACAAUACAGUGAUAUGUUCCUGUAAUCCUCACUUCACAUACUUUAGAUGUGUGAUUGAUACUGUUUUGAGUUGGUGAGUAUUGAGGAUAAACAAAAAGGGCCCUAGUUUCAAAUGUGUUUUAGCAACUCAAAAUAUAUUGAAAUGGUCCUGUAGUGAAAUCAGCUUCCCAUGUUUCUUUUCAGCAGGGAGCAUCAUAAUGUAAUUCAUUUUGGUUAUUAAUGAAUUAAUUACAUUUAAAGUAAAGGCUUACAUGGUGGCUUCAAAGGCAACGUUGUGUUUUUUGCUUCAACAUCCAAAUGAACAAAAGCUGCAAUAAGAUGAGACGACAACCAAAAUAAAAAUUACCAUCGGUAUUUCGGCUCUUAUUGUCACCGUUAAGAGAUGAGAUGGAUGGGGUAAUGUGAUCUAGCGAGGCCUGACUGUGGCGCAGAAAGGUCAGCAGGCGAAAUGCCACAACAUGUUAGCGUGCUGUGUAGCCUUGCAGCCUGUGGACAGCGGUGUGAAGACAAAGAGCAGGAACCAAUCCAAAAAAAAACCUUCUCACACCCCCAGAGGGCCUGAGGCUGAGCUGAAUAUGAUCUGUAAACAAUGCUUUGGGUUCACAGCGACAUAGUGGAGAGACAGAAAUGAGUGCAUGUCCCUUUAAAACAGACACUAGUGCAAUACUGCUCAGAGGAACUGGUGUUCGGCGGGAUUCUGGGUGUGCUCUCCACAUUCAGACUUCACACGUUUUAACACUGCAUCAAGUGGAAGUGUAUGGGAGUCGCAGUCACAAAAUGGGUUCAAUCAAAGAGAGAGAAGCAGCACACAAAACCCUGUUUUGCAUAGAGACAACUAGGCCCAGUUCCUCUCGGUUUUAAGGUGGUAGGCAGGUAAGGCGGGAAGGAAAUCCACGAACUCUCCCAAACAGCACUAAACAUUAAAUACCAAUUUCCAGGUAGGAGACUGAGACUAUCUGCAGGUAAAAUUGAUUAAUCUGCCCUAAUUAGGUAUGAAAUUAAACACAGCUUCUUGGCAGAGGACUGUGGGUAAUAGGAUGUUGCUUUCCACGGUUGUUAUAUAAAAAGAAAUAUUGGAAUAACAAUACAAACAAGAUUGGGUUUUAAAGUAUCCAUUUAUCUAAAUGCAGAAAAAUCUGGGUGUGAGGAAGUCUGAACCACCGGGAGGGUGUGUGUGUGUGAGUGUGUCACAGCAGGGCAGCACCUACUACCGCCGACUGGGUGUGAGAUUGGUGUACGGACCAGCUGUAGUCAUUUACAGUAAAAGAGCACAGCCAUGCAGAGAAAAGCAGCUUUGAGGAACUAAAUGAUGCAAAAAAUGUCUUUGAGCUGUCAGAAAUGUCCUUUGACUGAAAAUUGUGUUCGGCCUUUUUUUUUUAAUCUCAUGGCAGUGUGUCCACAAGAGAUCUUUGGGCUCCACCUGGUGGAAACCACUUCAAACCGCUACCGCAAACUUCUAUCUUAGCUCAUUUUCCUAGGUCUGAAGUAGCCAAUGCAGUCAUAUUUUGCUAAAUUAUGACCUUUAUUGGAUUUCAGGUCAUUGAUAGUCAUUUUUAAAAUGUUAUAUAGAUAUGUA
Molecule: long non-coding RNA, 6842 nt
Organism: Gasterosteus aculeatus aculeatus (three-spined stickleback)
Lineage: Eukaryota; Metazoa; Chordata; Actinopteri; Perciformes; Gasterosteidae
Source: Ensembl